GCCUUCGUGGUGUAGUGGUCAACACAUUCGGCGCGUACUCCAGAGGUCCAGGUUCGAGUCCCGGCGAGGGCA
Molecule: transfer RNA, 72 nt
Filed under: Stegodyphus mimosarum
Lineage: Eukaryota; Metazoa; Arthropoda; Arachnida; Araneae; Eresidae
Rfam family: tRNA
About the family: Transfer RNA (tRNA) molecules are approximately 80 nucleotides in length.
Source: Rfam by way of RNAcentral